AAAGCAGAUCGGAUGAUCGCGGGUCCAAAUCAAGGCCUGAGGAAAGUCCGAGCUCCACAGGGCAGGGUGCUGGAUAACGUCCAGGCAGGGUGACCUGACGGAAAGUGCCACAGAAAACAUACCGCCUCGACUUUGGUUGGGGUAAGGGUGAAAAGGCGAGGUAAGAGCUCACCGCGGUCCAGGUGACUGGAUCGGCAGGGCAAACCCCACCCGGAGCAAGACCAAAUAGGGAAGGAGAGGUGACCCGCCUCGUUAUCACUUCCGGGUAGGUCGCUCGAGGUGCGAGGUAACUCGCAUCCCAGAUAGAUGAUCAUCGGAGGGGGGCCGCUGUGCCGCCCUCUACAGAACUCGGCUUACAGAUCUGCUUUGGCG
RNAcentral lists this RNase P RNA (372 nucleotides) under candidate division Zixibacteria bacterium SM23_81. RNAcentral describes it as "bacterial RNase P". It matches the Rfam family "Bacterial RNase P class A". From Rfam's summary of the family: Ribonuclease P (RNase P) is a ubiquitous endoribonuclease, found in archaea, bacteria and eukarya as well as chloroplasts and mitochondria. The record is from RNAcentral. Lineage: Bacteria; Pseudomonadati; Candidatus Zixiibacteriota.